UACGUAGGGGGCGAGCGUUGUCCGGAAUCAUUGGGCGUAAAGGGCGCGUAGGCAGUCUUGCAAGUCGGAUGUUAAAUUUAUCGGCUCAACCGAUAACCGCAUUCGAAACUGCUUGACUAGAGAGUGGUAGAGGUAAACGGAAUUUCCGGUGUAGCGGUGAAAUGCGUAGAUAUCGGAAAGAACACCAGUGGCGAAGGCGGUUUACUGGGCCAUUUCUGACGCUGAGGCGCGAAAGCUAGGGGAGCAAACGGGAUUAGAUACCCGAGUA
RNAcentral lists this ribosomal RNA (268 nucleotides) under uncultured prokaryote. RNAcentral describes it as "partial 16S ribosomal RNA". It matches the Rfam family "Bacterial small subunit ribosomal RNA", at positions 524 to 792 of the family's 1533-position model. The record is from RNAcentral.